GCGGCGCACCGUACGCGUGAGAAUAGUUCGCGUCGUAUUCACGGUGCCAAGAAGUCGAAAUAAAAUAAAGAAAACACCGCCUGCCGUCGGUUUACGACUGUCAACGAUCGACUAACGUGACCGUGAACAAACAUCAUCGAUUCCCGCGACUACCUGGUAAAUCGUUGAAAUACUUAUCCAUGGAAUCAUCGUUGGUCGGGUGAAAUCAGACCAAGUGUGCGGAUUAAGGAGGAAAACGCUGGGAGACGAACGAUCGUGAGUUGGGAGCUCGGAUAAAGUCAAUUCGAAACGAGUGGCGUCGUUAAGCUUCGUUGGACACGGGGACCACCAGGAAGUAUUCGAAAGUAGCCGGAAUUCUGUCAUCGUCCCUGAGUCACACCGGAAUCGAAGAAGAGGCGAUGAUCAUGAUACAUCCUGGAAACAUGCUGUCCUUACGUUGCUGCGUGAAACCAGAAAUGUACCAUGCUUCCUUCCCGAGCAUUCAACUGUCCUACCGGUCGCCGAUCUGAACAGUCGGCGGAUGGACGUGGUAUCAGCUGGGAAGUCCCAACACGGAGCAAAGGACGAGCUGGGAAUUCGUCGUCGACGUCGACGUAACGGCAAGUUGACGAAAGUCGGUAGAUUCGCUCGUAGGAAACGCGAGCGGAAGAAGAGUGAGACACGUUUACGAGUCAGGAAGGGUGAAAGAAGAGGAAGGGGAUCGAGCUCGCGGGAAGAGAAGAAAAAAGAAAAGAAAAGUUGUGGCAUUGAGUAAACCGUGAUUCCUCCAAGAACACGUAUAAUCGCGUGUUCGCCUCGCUUGAUUCUUCACUGCCAUCCGUGUUCAUUGAUUAGAUUAGACGUCACUGCUAUUGGUGUCCAUUCAGUGGCUGCCUUACCACAUUUUUUUCCUCGUACCGUUGAAUUCACUUGGAUUCCUCGCGCGGUAUCCUUUACGCUUGUUUCUUCCGCGAUUCGAACGCGAGUGCCUCAGUGGAGUCUACGUUGUAUUUCCGGCCGAGCACUCAGUUUCAUUCUUUCGCAUUUCGUGAAAACCAGUGCAAGUGAGAGAAAAUUAUUUGUGCAAGUUUUGCGAAAGGAUUCGUGGUCGCAAGAUGAUUCUACUGCUUCGCACGAUUCCGAUGGUGCUGUUCACUGUGAUGGCUAUGGGAACACCCCGGUCUUCGGUCAUGUACGCGGACGAC
Ceratina calcarata is the source of this 1184-nucleotide long non-coding RNA. RefSeq lists it as uncharacterized. The record is from RefSeq and is a predicted model, not a curated record. The transcript is spliced from 3 exons. NCBI's taxonomy places the organism in Eukaryota, Metazoa, Arthropoda, Insecta, Hymenoptera, Apidae.